GAUGAACGCUGGCGGCGUGCUUAACACAUGCAAGUCGAACGAAGCACUUUUGAUUGAUUUCCUCGGAAAGAUUUCACUUGUGACUGAGUGGCGGACGGGUGAGUAACGCGUGGGUAACCUGCCUCAUACAGGGGGAUAACAGUUAGAAAUGACUGCUAAUACCGCAUAAGCGCACGGUAUCGCAUGAUACAGUGUGAAAAACUCCGGUGGUAUGAGAUGGACCCGCGUCUGAUUAGCUAGUUGGUGGGUAACGGCCUACCAAGGCGACGAUCAGUAGCCGACCUGAGAGGGUGACCGGCCACAUUGGGACUGAGACACGGCCCAAAUCCUGCGGAGGCAGCAGUGGGGAAUAUUGCACAAUGGGCAAAGCCUGAUGCAGCGACGCCGUCGUGAACGAAGAGAUUCGGAUGUAAAGUUCUAUCAGCAGGGAANAU
RNAcentral lists this ribosomal RNA (434 nucleotides) under uncultured bacterium. RNAcentral describes it as "bacterial SSU rRNA". It matches the Rfam family "Bacterial small subunit ribosomal RNA", at positions 28 to 449 of the family's 1533-position model. The record is from RNAcentral.